GACACAUGAACAUUGACAAUUCGAACGCACAUUGCGGCCCUAG
This 43-nucleotide ribosomal RNA is filed under the name Frankliniella occidentalis (western flower thrips). RNAcentral describes it as "partial 5.8S ribosomal RNA". The record is from RNAcentral. Lineage: Eukaryota; Metazoa; Arthropoda; Insecta; Thysanoptera; Thripidae.